UUGAAAAUUUAGCAGUACCGAGAACUCUCAAAUUAGACUGGCAAACCAACUGCAAUUCUGGGACUAUUUUCAUUUUCGUUCAGUAAGACAUUAAAUGGGUGGAAAAAUACGUGCGAUCUCAAUGUAUGUUGUCUAGUUUCACAAGACUAUUCCAUAUAAGCCUGCAGCUAUGAAGUAUAAGAAUCUUAUGGCAAGAGCCUUGUAUGAUAAUGUCCCAGAGUGCGCAGAGGAGCUGGCCUUCCGCAAAGGAGACAUUUUGACAGUGAUAGAACAGAACACUGAAGGGCUGGAAGGAUGGUGGCUCUGCUCUUUACAUGGCCGACAAGGCAUUGUUCCAGGCAACCGGGUGAAACUUUUGAUAGGCCCAGUACAGGAUAGUCCGUCUAACCAGGACACAUCCAAUUCAAGAUCAAUGCAUCAUGCCUAUAACCAGCAGAAAGUCUACCAAAUGCCAAGCUCACAGGCUUCAACUUGGGACUCGGUAUACCAGGUGCCACCUUCCCAUCUGAAUCAGGGCAUCUACCAGGUACCUACUGGCCAUGGUCUACAGGAGCAAGAUGUUUACCAAGUCCCACCAUCUGUGCAGAGAAGCUUGGGUGGUACUGAUGGUUCACCUUUCAACAGCAAGGUAGUAACUCCAGUCAGGACAGGACAAGGUUAUGUUUAUGAGUUCCCUUCAAAAUACCAGAAAGAUAUCUACGAUACCCCUCCAGUUCGUCCUUCCCAAGGGAUAUAUGACGUUCCCCCUGCAUCAGUUAAGGGGCCUGUGCAUCCAGUCCCAAUGGGAGAGGCAAAAGCUCAAGGGGUGUAUGAUAUACCUCCUAUAAAAGGGAUCUAUGAUGUUCCUGCAUCUGCAUGCAAAGAGGAUACAGGGCUGAGGGAAAAUUUGCUGGAUUUCCCUUCUUCAGUGAACCAUAAUGCAAGACUAGAAGGAGUGUAUGACAUCCCUCCUCCCACUACCAAAGAACUUAGCAAGAAAUUUACCUCUGACGUCCCUCUACCUAAUGAUUUAUUAUCAUGCAAACAUAGCCUAUAUGACAUUCCAGUGAGCCAUCAAAAUCAAUUUCUUGGUCAGCAGAUUGCUCCUCAGAAGGAUGUAUACGAUACCCCUCGUGGAGUUCAAUUUCCUGGACAGCAGUCGGGAUUCAGCAAAAGUCUAAAUCCAGAGGGAAGGGAAGGUGUGUAUGAUGUGCCACCACAGACUACACAAGACACUAAAGGAUUGAAAGAUGUGACAGAUGGGAUAAAUAGAUUGUCUUUCUCCAGUACGGGCAGCACUAGGAGUAACAUGUCUACAUCUUCCACAACUUCAAAGGAGUCUUCUUUUUCAGCCUCAACUUCUCAGGACAAACGAUUAAUACUAGAUCCAGACACAGCCAUAGAGAGACUUUAUUGGCUUCAGCAGACAGUGGAGACUGUGGUCUCUAAUCUCAUGGCCUUUGUUAACACAGACUGGCGGUCUUAUGGGUACAUGGAGAAAAAUAUCAAUGAAAUCCACACUGCCGUGGAGAAAGUAGAGCAGUCAUUGGUGGAGUAUCUUCAGUUUGCAAAAGGAGCAACAGCCAAUGCUUCCUGUCUCUCAGAAAUCAAUCUCCAUAACAAAAUGAGAAGGGAGCUGCAAAGAUUGGAGGAUUCUCACCAGAUCUUAACCCAGACCAGUCAUGACCUGAAUAGCUACAGCUGGUCAUUGAACAUCUUGGCGGUCAACAAAUCCCAAAACAAAUGUGAUGAUCUAGACCGAUUUGUUAUGGUGGCAAGGACAGUCCCAGAUGAUGCCAAGCAAUUGACCACCACUAUCAGCAUCAAUGCAGAGAUGCUAUUCAAACAGGUAUCAAGCAGUUCACGUUUAAAGAAUGUUUCAGAGAACAUUAUGAACACAACUGACUAUGCAUACAACAGCCCCCAGAAUCAGUUGUUACACCACAGAGAGAAAACUCAGGACCACGGCAGUUCUUUGCCCCCAUUUCUGAGUAAAGACCAGCAUCCCCCUGGUAUCACUAAUGAGGGCUCUGAGAAGAGCUGGAUGGAUGAUUAUGAUUACGUUCACCUACAGGGAAAAGAGGAGUUUGAAAGACAACAGAAAGAGCUUCUAGAAAAAGAAAAUAUCAUCAAGCAGAACAAGAUGCAGCUGGAGCAUCAUCAGAUCAAUCAGUUCCAGCAACUGGAGCAAGAGAUCACAAAGCCUGUGGAGAAUGACAUUUCAAAAUGGAAGCCGCCUCAGAGUCUGCAAACUGCAAGCAGCACUGUGGGCUCUCAAGACCGAGAGCUGCUCUUCUUUUAUUCUGACCAGUGCGAGACUCAUUUUGUGUCUCUCCUAAAUGCCACUGAUGCCUUUUUUAACUGUGUCAGUGCUGCUCAGCCACCAAGGAUGUUCGUCGCUCACAGCAAGUUUGUCAUUUUAAGCGCUCAUAAACUGGUGUUCAUCGGGGACACACUCACAAGGCAAGUGACUACUCAGGAUAUCCGCAGCAAAGUGAUGAACUCCAGCAACCAGCUGUGUGAAUUGCUAAAGAACAUUGUUAUGGCAACCAAGAUGGCUGCUUUGUAUUAUCCCAACCCAGCUGCCCUGCAGGAGAUGGUCGACCGAGUAACAGAACUGUCUCAUCGCGCACAGCUGUUUAAACGCUCUCUGGUACAGAUGGCAUCAUUCUGAAACAAACAAAAUGGAAUCCAAUCAAUGGACAGUAAAAAUGAUUUUAAAAAACUGGAAAUAUGUCCUAGUUUAUACCUAGGGACUUACUCAGAGUUGCUGAAUGUCCCUAAAUCUUGCUGACAUCAGUGGAUUCUGAAGGUACACAACAUCUCCCAAGAUCAGGCUUAAAGAAAAUGCAUGGCAUCAUAAUUCCCCAUGAAAAGGCUUAAUUUGCCAUCCAUUUUGGAACAUCUGAUUAAAACAUCUGUAAUUUUAGAGGAGAAAAUAGCACUUAUCUCUAUGACAAAUUCUUAUGAAUCAUUUGCACUUUUGCAGCUCUGAGCUUCACUCAGAUUUUGGACUUUUUCCAAAUUUUCCUUCCCGACCUACGGACACACCAUGGGUCUCCUGGGCUACAUAAUCACCAAAGCAACACCCUGUAUUUAAAGGGGUAAUUCCAUAUGUAGUGGACACAACAAUGACUUAACCACAGGUCACAUUACAUGACCACUCCUAACUGUGGAGUAGUGGCAAUCAGGCUCCAGGGAAUGAGGUCCAGGUGAUGCUCAGUGGACUUCUGAUUUAAAACAAAAAUAUUGUUACCCAAGUUUCCUUGUGAUAAUUCAGGCUACCAUCCCAAGUCUUUAUGUAUUUCUGAGUGUUUGCAUAAGAGACCAGCCUGGUGGUAAAUACAAAAUCACACCAUGUAGAAUACCUAGUCAGGAGGCACUUAAGUAAAGUCUUUCUUCACAAAAGGAUGUCUGGUAUUUUUGUUCCAGCCUAUGUCUAAACACGUUCUCCAGUGCAUGCCUCAUUGCAGUGCAUUUGUUUAUCUUGGAUAACAGAACUGCUUAACCAGCAAAUGAAGUUAUGCUUUCCUAAUACAUUGUCUCAGAGUGAUGAUUGCUCAUCACUGAGAGUUACCAUAAUGUUGUUUCCAGAGGGCUCCCAUUAAAGCCAGUGGGAGUUCAGAGGGACUUCAGCAGCAACAGAAUCAUACCCAGCACUUGCAUCAGAUAUAAUAUUGAAAGCUCUUCUCCGUUUUACAAGAGGAGAGGAAUAAUUAUCCCAUUGUAAACAAAAUAGGAUUGCCAAAAGAUACCAAAGAAUCCACUUGAACCUGUUUUGUAUUUGUGUUAUUUGGGAUUUUUCUAUUUUUUUCCAUUGUAAUAUUUUUAGAAAGUGACAAAGUGUUUUAAACUUAGCCAUCAUGUCAAUCACUUUUGAGUUUUCAAAAGGGGGAUUCCUUUUAUGGCAAACUUAUAUUAUUAUUUACUUGUUACCUUGUAGAGAGUAUUUUUAAAAUCAUUAAAUAUACAAAGGCUUUUUUUUUAA
RNA transcript from Malaclemys terrapin pileata, 3967 nucleotides. It is a transcript of the gene named neural precursor cell expressed, developmentally down-regulated 9, with no coding region annotated. The transcript has 8 exons. The record is from RefSeq and is a predicted model, not a curated record. Lineage: Eukaryota; Metazoa; Chordata; Testudines; Emydidae.